Metschnikowia bicuspidata var. bicuspidata NRRL YB-4993 is the source of this 93-nucleotide transfer RNA. It matches the Rfam family "tRNA". From Rfam's summary of the family: Transfer RNA (tRNA) molecules are approximately 80 nucleotides in length. Their secondary structure includes four short double-helical elements and three loops (D, anti-codon, and T loops). Further hydrogen bonds mediate the characteristic L-shaped molecular structure. tRNAs have two regions of fundamental functional importance: the anti-codon, which is responsible for specific mRNA codon recognition, and the 3' end, to which the tRNAs corresponding amino acid is attached (by aminoacyl-tRNA synthetases). tRNAs cope with the degeneracy of the genetic code in two manners: having more than one tRNA (with a specific anti-codon) for a particular amino acid; and 'wobble' base-pairing, i.e. permitting non-standard base-pairing at the 3rd anti-codon position. Lineage: Eukaryota; Fungi; Ascomycota; Pichiomycetes; Serinales; Metschnikowiaceae. The record is from Rfam.
GUUACAGUGGCCGAGUGGUUAAGGCGACACCCUGCUAUCAAGUGGUUCAGGUGUUGGGCAUUGCCUGCGCAGGUUCGAAUCCUGUCUGUGACG